Molecule: ribosomal RNA, 843 nt
Filed under: Arthrobacter sp. ECP5
Lineage: Bacteria; Bacillati; Actinomycetota; Actinomycetes; Micrococcales; Micrococcaceae
Description: bacterial SSU rRNA
Rfam family: Bacterial small subunit ribosomal RNA
Source: RNAcentral
CUUAACAUGCAAGUCGAACAAUGUAACGGUGCUUGCACCGGGGAUUAGUGGCGAACGGGUGAGUAACACGUGAGUAACCUGCCCUUAACUCUGGGAUAAGCCUGGGAAACUGGGUCUAAUACCGGAUAUGACUCCUCAUCGCAUGGUGGGGGGUGGAAAGCUUUUUGUGGUUUUGGAUGGACUCGCGGCCUAUCAGCUUGUUGGUGAGGUAAUGGCUCACCAAGGCGACGACGGGUAGCCGGCCUGAGAGGGUGACCGGCCACACUGGGACUGAGACACGGCCCAGACUCCUACGGGAGGCAGCAGUGGGGAAUAUUGCACAAUGGGCGCAAGCCUGAUGCAGCGACGCCGCGUGAGGGAUGACGGCCUUCGGGUUGUAAACCUCUUUCAGUAGGGAAGAAGCGAAAGUGACGGUACCUGCAGAAGAAGCGCCGGCUAACUACGUGCCAGCAGCCGCGGUAAUACGUAGGGCGCAAGCGUUAUCCGGAAUUAUUGGGCGUAAAGAGCUCGUAGGCGGUUUGUCGCGUCUGCCGUGAAAGUCCGGGGCUCAACUCCGGAUCUGCGGUGGGUACGGGCAGACUAGAGUGAUGUAGGGGAGACUGGAAUUCCUGGUGUAGCGGUGAAAUGCGCAGAUAUCAGGAGGAACACCGAUGGCGAAGGCAGGUCUCUGGGCAUUAACUGACGCUGAGGAGCGAAAGCAUGGGGAGCGAACAGGAUUAGAUACCCUGGUAGUCCAUGCCGUAAACGUUGGGCACUAGGUGUGGGGGACAUUCCACGUUUUCCGCGCCGUAGCUAACGCAUUAAGUGCCCCGCCUGGGGAGUACGGCCGCAAGGCUAAAACUC